Molecule: ribosomal RNA, 490 nt
Filed under: uncultured bacterium
Lineage: Bacteria
Description: partial 16S ribosomal RNA
Rfam family: Bacterial small subunit ribosomal RNA
Source: RNAcentral
AUUGAACGCUGGCGGCAGGCCUAACACAUGCAAGUCGAACGGUAACAGGGAUCAGCUUGCUGAUUCGCUGACGAGUGGCGGACGGGUGAGUAAUGUCUGGGAAACUGCCUGAUGGAGGGGGAUAACUACUGGAAACGGUAGCUAAUACCGCAUAACGUCGCAAGCCCAAAGAGGGGGACCUUCGGGCCUCUUGCCAUCGGAUGUGCCCAGAUGGGAUUAGCUAGUAGGUGGGGUAACGGCUCACCUAGGCGACGAUCCCUAGCUGGUCUGAGAGGAUGACCAGCCACACUGGAACUGAGACACGGUCCAGACGCCUACGGGAGGCAGCAGUGGGGAAUAUUGCACAAUGGGCGCAAGCAUGAUGCAGCCAUGCCGCGUGUAUGAAGAAGGCCUUCGGGUUGUAAAGUACUUUCAGCGGGGAGGAAGGGAGUAAAGUUAAUACCUUUGCUCAUUGACGUUACCCGCAGAAGAAGCACCGGCUAACUCCGUG